This 1280-nucleotide ribosomal RNA is filed under the name Salmonella enterica subsp. enterica serovar Thompson. RNAcentral describes it as "bacterial LSU rRNA". It matches the Rfam family "Bacterial large subunit ribosomal RNA", at positions 1 to 1211 of the family's 2925-position model. The record is from RNAcentral. Lineage: Bacteria; Pseudomonadati; Pseudomonadota; Gammaproteobacteria; Enterobacterales; Enterobacteriaceae.
GGGUUGUGAGGUUAAGCGACUAAGCGUACACGGUGGAUGCCCUGGCAGUCAGAGGCGAUGAAGGGCGUGCUAAUCUGCGAUAAGCGCCGGUAAGGUGAUAUGAACCGUUAUAACCGGCGAUACCCGAAUGGGGAAACCCAGUGUGACUCGUCACACUAUCAUUAACUGAAUCCAUAGGUUAAUGAGGCGAACCGGGGGAACUGAAACAUCUAAGUACCCCGAGGAAAAGAAAUCAACCGAGAUUCCCCCAGUAGCGGCGAGCGAACGGGGAGGAGCCCAGAGCCUGAAUCAGCAUGUGUGUUAGUGGAAGCGUCUGGAAAGGCGCGCGAUACAGGGUGACAGCCCCGUACACAAAAGCGCAUGUGCUGUGAGCUCGAUGAGUAGGGCGGGACACGUGGUAUCCUGUCUGAAUAUGGGGGGACCAUCCUCCAAGGCUAAAUACUCCUGACUGACCGAUAGUGAACCAGUACCGUGAGGGAAAGGCGAAAAGAACCCCGGCGAGGGGAGUGAAAAAGAACCUGAAACCGUGUACGUACAAGCAGUGGGAGCCCCACCACUAAGCCAGUGGUGAACUCCACAUACGCAUCCUUUGCUGAAGGCAAUGGUUAACGGAGCGAAAGCGACGUUCAACCGCAAAACAAGCAGAGGGGGCUUAGUGGUGGGGUGACUGCGUACCUUUUGUAUAAUGGGUCAGCGACUUAUAUUCUGUAGCAAGGUUAACCGUAUAGGGGAGCCGGAGGGAAACCGAGUCUUAAUUGGGCGUUAAGUUGCAGGGUAUAGACCCGAAACCCGGUGAUCUAGCCAUGGGCAGGUUGAAGGUUGGGUAACACUAACUGGAGGACCGAACCGACUAAUGUUGAAAAAUUAGCGGAUGACCUGUGGCUGGGGGUGAAAGGCCAAUCAAACCGGGAGAUAGCUGGUUCUCCCCGAAAGCUAUUUAGGUAGCGCCUCGUGAAUUCAUCUCCGGGGGUAGAGCACUGUUUCGGCUAGGGGGCCAUCCCGGCUGACCAACCCGAUGCAAACGGCGAAUACCGGAGAAUGUUAUCACGGGAGACACACGGCGGGUGCUAACGUCCGUCGUGAAGAGGGAAACAACCCAGACCGCCAGCUAAGGUCCCAAAGUCAUGGUUAAGUGGGAAACGAUGUGGGAAGGCCCAGACAGCCAGGAUGUUGGCUUAGAAGCAGCCAUCAUUUAAAGAAAGCGUAAUAGCUCACUGGUCGAGUCGGCCUGCGCGGAAGAUGUAACGGGGCUAAACCAUGCACCGAAGCUGCGGCAGCGA